RNAcentral lists this ribosomal RNA (253 nucleotides) under uncultured bacterium. RNAcentral describes it as "partial 16S ribosomal RNA". It matches the Rfam family "Bacterial small subunit ribosomal RNA", at positions 524 to 776 of the family's 1533-position model. The record is from RNAcentral.
UACGUAGGGGGCAAGCGUUGUCCGGAAUCAUUGGGCGUAAAGCGCGUGUAGGCGGCUCGGUAAGUCUGCUGUGAAAGUCCAGGGCUCAACCCUGGGAUGCCGGUGGAUACUGUCGAGCUCGAGUCCGGAAGAGGAGAGUGGAAUUCCCGGUGUAGCGGUGAAAUGCGCAGAUAUCGGGAAGAACACCCGUGGCGAAGGCGGCUCUCUGGGACGGUACUGACGCUGAGACGCGAAAGCGUGGGGAGCAAACAGG